This 94-nucleotide transfer RNA is filed under the name Fusarium culmorum CS7071. Lineage: Eukaryota; Fungi; Ascomycota; Sordariomycetes; Hypocreales; Nectriaceae. The record is from RNAcentral.
GUGCGGUUUAUGUGGAUCGAACACAUGACCUUCAGAUAUCGAAUGAUUGAAGUUUGACUUCAGUCUGACGCUCUCCCAACUGAGCUAAACCCGC